RNAcentral lists this transfer RNA (84 nucleotides) under Candidatus Roizmanbacteria bacterium RIFCSPHIGHO2_01_FULL_39_24. Its description in RNAcentral is "tRNA-Leu". It matches the Rfam family "tRNA". From Rfam's summary of the family: Transfer RNA (tRNA) molecules are approximately 80 nucleotides in length. Their secondary structure includes four short double-helical elements and three loops (D, anti-codon, and T loops). RNAcentral also lists the same sequence under 3 other names. The record is from RNAcentral. Lineage: Bacteria; Candidatus Roizmaniibacteriota.
GCCCGGGUGGUGAAAUGGUAGACACGCAACACUUAAAAUGUUGUAAGCUAAACGCUUGUGUCGGUUCGAGUCCGACCCCGGGCA